This 23-nucleotide unclassified non-coding RNA is filed under the name Dictyostelium discoideum. The record is from RNAcentral. Lineage: Eukaryota; Evosea; Eumycetozoa; Dictyosteliales; Dictyosteliaceae.
UUGAACUCUUUGAAUCCAGCAAU